Molecule: non-coding RNA, 5774 nt
Organism: Podarcis lilfordi (Lilford's wall lizard)
Lineage: Eukaryota; Metazoa; Chordata; Lepidosauria; Squamata; Lacertidae
Source: the annotation of a GenBank genome assembly
CAGCAGACACCCAGAGUCCUCCCAGGGCUAGGAGUUCGAGUCCUCCGUCCGGCUGUGAGGCCCUUGGAUACAGGCCCACAGCCAGCGAACCUGCCUCUCGUUUCCUCAGCGGAGGGGUUUUCUUCAGAGGAAGCGAGGGAGGGGGGAAAGACCCCAUUGUGUGCGCCGCCAGGGAAUGAUUGAGAAAGCCGAAAGACGACCUCGCCAUGCGUCUCUGCACACCGGUGGCGCAGUCAGCGAAGCCAUCCUUUGCCACCUCUUUCUCUGAGGUGUUAAUUGGGACGGAGAGGGGUUGCGUCUGCCUGCCUCUCUCUGGGUAAGGACUGGAGCAGCUGGCAGAAGAACAGAAGUGAGAAAUGACGCCAGGAACUGGAGGGAGGGGACCGGGUGCAGGUGACGGGGACAGCCAGCGCACAGGAAGCAGCACCUGAGCUCAGCGAUGUGUUGGAGGGGGGGUUGUGUGUGUGUGUGUGCCACAGAGCUACGGAGUCAGAGGUUACCCAAAGACCAUCUAACCCAGCCCCGACAAGGUGUAUUCCAGUUGCUAGUCCUCAGGACUGGAAGUGGUGGCUUAAAAAGCGUGCAGGUAUAUGGGGAGCUGGACGCAGGUGGUGCUGUGGGUUAAACCACAGAGCCUAGGGCUUGCCGAUCAGAAGGUCGGCAGUUCGAAUCCCCACGACGGGGUGAGCUCCCGUUGCUCGGUCCCUGCUCCUGCCAACCUAGCAGUUCGAAAGCACGUCCAAGUGCAAGUAGAUAAAUAGGUACCGCUCUGGUGGGAAGGUAAACGGCGUUUCCGUGCGCUGCUCUGGUUCGCCAGAAGCGGCUUAGUCAUGCUGGCCACAUGACCCGGAAGCUGUACACCGGCUCCCUUGGCCAGUAAAGCGAGAUGAGCGCCGCAACCCCAGAGUCGGCCACGACUGGACCUAAUGGUCAGGGGUCCCUUUACCUUUAUAUGGGUUUCUUUGAUUUUCCGGAUGAAACUUCCAGCUGGAUGCUUGGCGCCGCUCACUGAGCUAAAAUGGAGAGAAUUGAGCAUAAUUUGGGAUAUCUAGAACCUCCAGGCACUUUUAAUGCAGUUUGGCAUUCCUUUGUUGUGAAGAAGAAGAAGAAGAAGAAGAAGAAGUUUUAUUUAUACCCCGCCCUCCCCAGCCAAGACCGGGCUCAGGGCGGCCAACACCAGGUAUAAAAACAAUUGAUUAAAAUACAACUUAAAAACAAGAUUAAAAUACAACAUUAAAAUGCAGCCUCAUUUCAGUAGAAACUCAAAACUUUUGGGGGAUGAAAACGUCAAAUCUUCACCAAGGACGACUAUCCAGACUGGUCCUACGUGGGCCAGAAAAAAGCCAGGGAAGUCCCCAAAUAGGAGUUCCAUCACAGAAGGAGAAAGGAAAGGGGGAGGGGGAUCAAGUGGAUUCCAAGCCAAAGGCCAGGCGGAACAACUCUGUCUUACAGGCCCUGCGGAAAGAAGUAAGAUGCAAUGGAACCAUCAUUUUUGAUCACAAACCUGGCAGAUCUGGAAGUAUACUGCCCAGUCGGAUAACGCUAAUAUUAUUUAUUUGGACUUUCCUCACUUUAACCACAUGGAACCGCUUAUUGCCCGUGUCAUAGUUUUGCCUUUACCUUCUAAUUUCCACCUGCUGUUAUAACUGCUCUCUCUCUGUUGUGUAUGCGUUAUGAAAUAAAAUAAAAAUCUUUACAAAAAACAGGAGCGACUUCAAUGGCUUCCUGGGCUCACCCUCAUAACUAGGAAAUCAGGGGUGAUAUACUAGGCAAAUGAAGCAGGUCUGCUUAAUAUGCAUUUUUUAAAAAGUCACAAAGAUUGUUGCCCUCCCAACACAUCUUCCCAAGUCCAGUUGAUCAUGCCUCUGUAUUCCAGUAGUUGGGAACUAUAGUGUGUUCUUGCGCCCGGGUCCUGCUUUCAGGUUUUCCACAGGGAUCUGGUCGGCCACUGGGAAAAUAGGAUGCUGGACUAGACAGGCCCCACUGGAUUGAUCCAGGAAGUCUCUUCUGAUAUACUCAUGGAAGGAUCAGCAUUAAGGCUGUGUACACAUUUUAUUUUAUUUAUUUAUUACAUCGAUAUACCACCUUUUUAGUCCAAGGAGCUCAAGGUUCUCCCCUGCCCGCUAUUUCAUCCUCUCUUUAAAAAAAUAAAAUUUUUAAAUAAAAUAUUCAUUUUUCUCUUUCAUUCAUUACAUACAUCUCAAUUUCUUAGCAUUUAUUAUAUAUUCCUCCCUCCCUCCCCUCCAGGGCUUCCCUCAACUUCCGCUUCCGGUUUGAUUCUGUUUUCACCCACUUUGCUAUCUCCUAACAGAAAAAGUUAUUAAUAACAUAACAUCAAGCCUAAAAACCUAAAAAUAAAAGUAAAUACACAAUAAUAUUUCACUAUUAUCUAAACAUUUUCUCAUACUAAUAAUGUGGAUGUUUAUUUAAACCCUGCCAUCAAGCCUAUUGACUUUAUUUGUUUCUGCAAAUAUAAUAUAAAUGGUUCCCAUUCUUUUACAAAGCCUCUGUUGUCUUUUUCUCUUAGUCUUUCUGCCAUUUUUGCCAGUUCUGCAUAGUUCAUCAACUUCUCUUGCCAUUGUUCUUUAACUGGUAUAUCUCCAGUCUUCCAAUUUUGUGCAAUCAACGUUCUUGCUGCUGUACAUCGCUAUUUCAUCCUCUCAACAACCUUGUGAGGUAGGUUAGGCUGGAAAAUGGUGUCUAACCAUUGCACCGCACCCUGCACCUUUAAAGUGCCCCCGGCAGAGUUAAACUUCCCAGCAACCCGCAACAAACUACAUUGUCCAGAAUUCUUUGAGGGAAGAAAUGUGCUUUCUGGAUGUGUACAGGGCCCAAUGGCCCAGGAAAAGGAAAUUUGGGCUUUCAAGAGCCUAUCUCCCUUUUCUGCCACGUGCAACCCCACCCCGGUUUUUAUUUUUAUUUAGCCCGCUUGCCCCAAAUAUGUCACCAACCCCACAAGCGCUCGCUUCAUCUGAAACAGCCACUCCCUGAGACGCAGGGCUCUCAUUUCCCAGACACCCGGCAACGGCUGCGUGCAAAUCUUCCGACACUUUUGUGGUUUUUAAUUAAAAAAUAACAACAGGCAUUUCUGAGUGCUGGCGAGAAGAGCGCUCUUUGUAAUUAGGCGGUUUGUUUGUUUUUUGAAAAAUUAUUUGCGUAGCUAUUCCGUUGCCUUAAUUUCCAAUGCAAGCUUGCCCUAAUAGCCUUAAUGCUUUGGGAAAAAAUAAAGCCUACUUGUGAUGUUAAGGUCCUGAUUGGUUGCCACCUCGGCCUUAACACACACACACACACACACACACACACACACACACACACUCAUCUACUGUUAUAACUGCUCUCUCUGUUGUGUAUAUGCAUUAUAAAAUAAAAUUAAAAAUCUUUUUUAAAAAACCGGGAGUGACUUCAAUGGCUUUCGUAGUUCCUGGGUUCACCCGCAUAAUUAGCAAAGUAGGGGUGGGACUAUGAAGUAAAGGUAAAGGGACCCCUGACCAUUAGGUCCAGUCGUGGCUGACUCUGGGGUUGCGGCGCUCAUCUCGCUUUAUUGGCCGAGGGAGCCGGCGUCCAGCUUCCGGGUCAUGUGGCCAGCAUGACUAAGCCGCUUCUGGCGAACCAGAGCAGCGCAUGGAAACACCGUUUACCUUCCCACCGGAGCGGUACCCGUUUAUCUACUUGUAAUGGGGUGCUUUCGAGCUGCUAGAUUGGCAGGAGCAGGGACUGAGCAACGGGCGCUCACCCCAUUGCGGGAUUCGAACCGCCAACCUUCUGAUCGGCAAGUCCUAGGCUCUGUGGUUUAACCCACAGCGCCACCCACGUCCCUGGACUAUGAAGUAAGUCUGCUUAAUAUACAAAAAAUAAAAAAUAAAAGUCACGAGGAUAUAUAUAUAUAUAAUCAGUCAGAACCCAGCCCUGAAAAUCUUUCGGGGAAAUCACAUCUGCCAGGCACAAUCCUUCUGCUUCUCCUCUCCUGUCUCGGGCACCUUUGCCAAAUCCUCAGUUCAUCUCGAUCUCCUGGCUUCCAAGGAACCUGUUUAUUGAGCAUUCAUCCUGAUUUGUCACAGCACCAGACCUCCCAAUCUUCUAUAUCUUUUGGAAAGCAGUUUUGCCAUCCGUCCAUCUGUUCCUCUGGGGGUUCAGACGCCUCUCCAGAGAUUGCUGCCAAACUUGGGGGUUCCUGAGGUUUGGGGGUGGGGGGCAGUGGUCUUCGUCAAUGUUUGGCUGUUAGGCACCAAUCAUGUCUUUGGUGUGACUUUAUCCAAUUUUUGGCGUGAUGAGUUCAAACUCACAAUUCGCACUAUAUGUUUAAAAAUCACAAUAUUUUUUGGCUUCUGAAAGUUCCCACGCAGUUGGUUGACAAUAACUGCACACCCUGAAUUUGUGACUGGAUCGUAGCUGUCAACGUUUCACUUUUUUAAAGGGAAAUUUCCUUAUUCUGAAUAGGAUUCCUCGCAAGAAAAGGGAAAAGUUGACAGCUAUGGACUGGAUCCCACCACAACACAGUGAUGUUGCAAGGCCCUUUCGGUUUUCAUCUCAGCUCCUGCCUCCGUAACCCAUCGAUUAUGUUCAAUCUGGACUUGGCAAUGGGGUCCCCUGCUGCCCCCUUGGUAGCCAGAAUUCUGUGGGGUGAACCCCACACUUGUAGGACUGGCUUCUGAUGAAGGGAUUGGGGGGUAGAUUAAGUUCCAUUUGCAUUUGACAGGGGGAACCUACAAAAUUCACACUUCCCGAAGCGUUUCGCACUUCCCGGAAUGCCACCUCCAAAAAAUUCUCCGAAUGUUGCAACUCAGUUCUCCAGCUGAGCAAUGGGUGCAAAAAUUCACACACGAGGGUAGAAGUGUGCAAAUAAACACACCCACUCAUCAGAGCGACGUACCAAAUCAAGAGGAAACGGCUUGCAAAAAUGCGUUCACAACUCAAAGCUGCGUCCGGAAAGGUGUCGAAUGGGGGAAAGUCAUAGAAUCAUAGAAUCAUAGAGUUGGAAGAGACCACAAGGGCCAUCGAGUCCAACCCCCUGCCAAGCAGGAAACACCAUCAGAGCACUCCUGACAUAUGGUUGUCAAGCCUCUGCUUAAAGACCUCCAAAGAAGGAGACUCCACCACACUCCUAGGCAGCAAAUUCCACUGUCGAACAGCUCUUACUGUCAGGAAGUUCUUCCUAAUGUUUAGGUGGAAUCUUCUUUCUUGUAGUUUGGAUCCAUUGCUCCGUGUCCGCUUCUCUGGAGCAGCAGAAAACAACCUUUCUCCCUCCUCUAUGUGACAUCCUUUUAUAUAUUUGAACAUGGCUAUCAUAUCACCCCUUAACCCUUAAGUCUCGCUAAAACAACGCUGGUGAACUUUCACGAGGAUAAUUUUAACGGAGAGUUGCGAGUUGCUGAAGAAAUACGAAGAACUGGAUUUAAAAGAUCAGGAAAGGGAGAGCGAACUUGAUAGAUCCCCUCCUGAAUCUACAACAAUUUUAUCCCUUCCCUACAGCCUCCAAGCUCUCAGAGGCAGGUCUUAGUCCUCGUCCCCAGGAGCUUGCGGGAAUUUUCAGCUGAUUCGAAGCGCCCACAUUUUCCCUCCCUGAAAAAGAGAAAGAAGCAGUGACAGAUUGCAGAAGGCGGUUUCAUUUGGGGUGGAGGAGUUGAAAUCGUCCCUCCCGCGCUGUUGGAAACCUGUGUGUUCAGCAAACCUCGGGAACAAUGGACCCCGUCUAUCAACUAUCUGGCGGUGGCGUGGUCAGGACAGGAGGAGUGGACAGGCAGGGGGGGUUCCUAGAAACCAACUUUUAUUAAAAG